RNAcentral lists this non-coding RNA (21 nucleotides) under Caenorhabditis elegans. The record is from RNAcentral. Lineage: Eukaryota; Metazoa; Nematoda; Chromadorea; Rhabditida; Rhabditidae.
UUGGUUGUCAGAGCUAUUGCU